Molecule: ribosomal RNA, 225 nt
Filed under: uncultured bacterium
Lineage: Bacteria
Description: partial 16S ribosomal RNA
Rfam family: Bacterial small subunit ribosomal RNA
Source: RNAcentral
GAUCAUGGCUCAGGAUGAACGCUAGCUACAGGCUUAACACAUGCAAGUCGAGGGGCAGCAUGGUCUUAGCUUGCUAAGGCCGAUGGCGACCGGCGCACGGGUGAGUAACACGUAUCCAACCUGCCGUCGUACUCUUGGACAGCCUUCUGAAGGAAGAUUAAUACAAGAUGGCAUCAUGAGUUCACAUGUUCACNUGAUUAAAGGUAUUCCGGUAGACGAUGGGGA